UAACGCGAAGAACCUUACCAUCCCUUGACAUGUCGUGCCAUCCGGAGAGAUCCGGGGUUCCCUUCGGGGACGCGAACACAGGUGCUGCAUGGCUGUCGUCAGCUCGUGUCGUGAGAUGUUGGGUUAAGUCCCGCAACGAGCGCAACCCACGUCCUUAGUUGCCAUCAUUCAGUUGGGCACUCUAGGGAGACUGCCGGUGAUAAGCCGCGAGGAAGGUGUGGAUGACGUCAAGUCCUCAUGGCCCUUACGGGAUGGGCUACACACGUGCUACAAUGGCGGUGACAGUGGGACGCGAAACCGCGAGGUUGAGCAAAUCCCCAAAAACCGUCUCAGUUCAGAUUGCACUCUGCAACUCGAGUGCAUGAAGGCGGAAUCGCUAGUAAUCGUGGAUCAGCAUGCCACGGUGAAUACGUUCCCGGGUCUUGUACACACCGA
RNAcentral lists this ribosomal RNA (435 nucleotides) under uncultured bacterium. RNAcentral's name for it is "bacterial SSU rRNA". It matches the Rfam family "Bacterial small subunit ribosomal RNA", at positions 957 to 1393 of the family's 1533-position model. The record is from RNAcentral.